Molecule: non-coding RNA, 810 nt
Filed under: Orthotermes depressifrons
Lineage: Eukaryota; Metazoa; Arthropoda; Insecta; Blattodea; Termitidae
Source: RNAcentral
AAGAAGUUUUAUUCUUGCUUUUUCAUUCAGUUUUUGUUUGUUCUAUAUGUAAGUUUUUGCGUGAUUUUCUAUGAUUCUAGAUGGGUUGUUGAGGUCUUAUUUAUUCUCAUUAGUUGUUAUUGGUUGAUCAAGUAUACUUGUAUCUAGCAAUAUGUUUUAGUUUCGGUUAAAUUUUGUGCCAGCAGCUGCGGUUAUACCUUGGAAGCGUUUGAAUGUGUUCGGUGUUGGUAGUUAUAUUUUAUUUUGUUAAGAUUCUGUCUUGUUUGGUUGAUUAGGUGAAAUUUUUAUUUUUGUUUUUAUCUUUUAUUUUUUUGGAAGCUAUGAAAUUCUUUUUAUAAACUAGGAUUAGAUACCCUAUUAUUUUGGAAUGUUAAAUGUUUAUUUGCCUGAGUAGUAUUAGUUAUGUUCUUGAAACUUAAAGAAUUUGGCGGUAUCUCAUUCCGUCCAGAGGAAUCUGUCUCGUUAUCGAUAGUCCACGUUGGACCUUACUUGGAUUGCUUAUUGGUUUGUAUACCGCCGUUUAUUGAUUAUCUUUUUAGAGUUUGAGUAAUUUUCUUGUUUCUUUAUUUUGAUUUAUUUCAGGUCAAGGUGCAGCUUGUUUCUAAGUGAAUGAUGGAUUACAUUAUUAUUUGUUUUUGGAUUGUUGGUUUUAAUAUUGGCAUGAAAUUGGAUUUGGUUGUAAUGAUUUAUAGAUUGUUUUCAUGAUAAUGGUUCUGGGAUAUGCACACAUCGCCCGUCGCUCUCGUUCAAAGUUAUUAAUGAGAUAAGUCGUAACAAAGUGGUUGUACCGGAAGGUGCGGCUGGAUUGAU